Molecule: ribosomal RNA, 308 nt
Filed under: uncultured bacterium
Lineage: Bacteria
Description: partial 16S ribosomal RNA
Rfam family: Bacterial small subunit ribosomal RNA
Source: RNAcentral
GAGACAGCAGUAGCCGCGGGAAUACGGAGGAUCCGAGCGUUAUCCGGAAUUAUUGGGUUUAAAGGGUGCGUAGGCGGACAGAUAAGUCAGUGGUGAAAGACGGUGGCUCAACCAUCGCAGUGCCGUCGAUACUGUUUGUCUUGAAUAUGGAUGAGGUAGGCGGAAUGUGGCAAGUAGCGGUGAAAUGCAUAGAUAUGCCACAGAACACCGAUUGCGAAGGCAGCUUACCAAGGCAAUAUUGACGCUGAGGCACGAAAGCGUGGGGAUCGAACAGGAUUAGAUACCCCAGUAGUCCCUGUCUCUUAUAC